This 253-nucleotide ribosomal RNA is filed under the name uncultured bacterium. RNAcentral describes it as "partial 16S ribosomal RNA". It matches the Rfam family "Bacterial small subunit ribosomal RNA", at positions 524 to 776 of the family's 1533-position model. The record is from RNAcentral.
UACGUAGGGUGCAAGCGUUGUCCGGAAUUAUUGGGCGUAAAGAGCUCGUAGGCGGUCUGUCGCGUCUGCUGUGAAAAUCCAGGGCUCAACCCUGGACCUGCAGUGGGUACGGGCAGACUAGAGUGCGGUAGGGGAGAUCGGAAUUCCUGGUGUAGCGGUGAAAUGCGCAGAUAUCAGGAGGAACACCAAUGGCGAAGGCAGCUCGCUGGGACGGUACUGACGCUAAGGCGCGAAAGCGUGGGGAGCAAACAGG